RNAcentral lists this ribosomal RNA (421 nucleotides) under uncultured bacterium. RNAcentral describes it as "partial 16S ribosomal RNA". It matches the Rfam family "Bacterial small subunit ribosomal RNA", at positions 360 to 773 of the family's 1533-position model. The record is from RNAcentral.
AAUAUUGGACAAUGUGGGCAACCCUGAUCCAGCCAUGCCGCGUGUGUGAAGAAGGUCUUCGGAGUGUAAAGCACUUUAAGUUGGGAGGAAGGGCUUUAGGUUAAUACCCUGUAGUUUUGACGUUACCAACAGAAUAAGCACCGGCUAACGCUGUUCCAGCAGCCGCGGUAAUACAGAGGGUGCAAGCGUUAAUCGGAAUUACUGGGCGUAAAGGGCGCGUAGGUGGGUCAGUAAGAGGGGUGUGAAAUCCCCGGGCUUAACCGGGGAACUGCUUUGAUAACUGCGGAGCUAGAGUACGGUAGAGGGUAGUGGAAUUUCCUGUGUAGCGGUGAAAUGCGUAGAUAUAGGGAAGAACACCAGUGGCGAAGGCGACUAACUAGACUGAUACUGACACUGAGGUGCGAAAGCGUGGGGAGCAAAC